Tripterygium wilfordii is the source of this 543-nucleotide long non-coding RNA. RefSeq lists it as uncharacterized. The transcript is spliced from 3 exons. Lineage: Eukaryota; Viridiplantae; Streptophyta; Magnoliopsida; Celastrales; Celastraceae. The record is from RefSeq and is a predicted model, not a curated record.
GUUCUUCUCAAUCUAUCAUCCUCCUCAAGUUGAACACCAUCUGAGAGUAUAUUAAACUUGUUUACAAGAGUCUGUAAUCGGAGAGCGGAAACUGAUUUUGUGAGAAUAUCAGCCGGUUGAUCUUGCGACUUGAGAAGUGCAAGUUGCUGCUCAUCUUCUUUCAGAAAUUACAUUAACCCCUUCUACUGUGAGGAUUGUUUUGAACUACAUCCAGUCUAUCGACAAUCCCAUGGCAAGUAUUGAAGAAGCAAUGACAAGAAUACACUACCGACCAACACAAUCAAUGUGUUACUUCACAAGUAGAUGUCGAUGCAGUAUCGAUCCUUACAUUCUUAAGCACCUGGCUUAAAUAUAUUGGGAGCAUGGAGUGAGGAAUCAUCCCCUACCAAUGAAUUGGAAAAUCAUCGAAAGGUCAAAUAUAAUAUUAUUUCUGGAAAAUCCGUGGCUGCGCCUCAUGUGCUUGCUGUAGCUGCCCUUCUUAAAGCAAUAUAUUCUAAAUGGAGCAGUGCGGCUAUUAAAUCAACUCUUAUGACCACACGUAAU